AUUGAACGCUGGCGGCAUGCUUUACACAUGCAAGUCGAACGGCAGCGCGGGCUUCGGCCUGGCGGCGAGUGGCGAACGGGUGAGUAAUACAUCGGAACGUGCCCAGUAGUGGGGGAUAGCUCGGCGAAAGCCGGAUUAAUACCGCAUACGACCUGAGGGUGAAAGCGGGGGAUCUUCGGACCUCGCGCUAUUGGAGCGGCCGAUGGCAGAUUAGCUAGUUGGUGGGGUAAAGGCCUACCAAGGCGACGAUCUGUAGCUGGUCUGAGAGGACGACCAGCCACACUGGGACUGAGACACGGCCCAGACUCCUACGGGAGGCAGCAGUGGGGAAUUUUGGACAAUGGGCGAAAGCCUGAUCCAGCAACGCCGCGUGUGUGAUGAAGGCCUUCGGGUUGUAAAGCACUUUUGGCGGGAACGAAAAGGACUGUGCCAAUACCACGGUUCGAUGACGGUACCCGCAGAAUAAGCACCGGCUAACUACGUG
This 484-nucleotide ribosomal RNA is filed under the name uncultured bacterium. RNAcentral's name for it is "partial 16S ribosomal RNA". It matches the Rfam family "Bacterial small subunit ribosomal RNA", at positions 29 to 507 of the family's 1533-position model. The record is from RNAcentral.